UUCAGUCCUUGUCUAAUCUAAAGUGGUUGAAUACGAUUUGAAAUUUUAAUUGCUUAAGAAAUUAUGGGGGUGAGAAAGCUAUGGUGUGUCUUUUUUCUUCUUUGUCUCUUGACGUUGGUCAUGAGCAGACCUCAAGAUGACUAUGAUGAUGACAGCGAGUUUAAUGCUGAUGACAGGAAAGAUGAUGUCGGCCGAGUGCAAAUAAAAGUCUACAGAGGUCCUACAAAACACGAUGGCUACGCUCCUUGGGGGUUUUGGGUUAAACAGCCGUCUGACGAGGAAUAAAAAAUAUGUUUUAAUUUCAAUUCAGGCACCAAUUAGUUCAUAGACAAUAAUUAAAUAAAUUUUUGUAGGCAUUAAUUUUAUUGCUACGAAACUC
Molecule: long non-coding RNA, 379 nt
Organism: Melitaea cinxia (Glanville fritillary)
Lineage: Eukaryota; Metazoa; Arthropoda; Insecta; Lepidoptera; Nymphalidae
Exons: 3
Source: RefSeq, a predicted model, not a curated record